Molecule: non-coding RNA, 28 nt
Filed under: Homo sapiens (human)
Lineage: Eukaryota; Metazoa; Chordata; Mammalia; Primates; Hominidae
Source: RNAcentral
UCUGGGAGCAAGACCUAGAUUUGGGAAC